Non-coding RNA from Nicotiana tabacum (common tobacco), 977 nucleotides. Lineage: Eukaryota; Viridiplantae; Streptophyta; Magnoliopsida; Solanales; Solanaceae. The record is from RefSeq and is a predicted model, not a curated record.
UCUAAGGUAAUUCUUUCCUUUUCAAUUGCUUAUGCUUUUGACUUACAUAAGUCCAUAUGUCUUUAUUGAUCUGAUAAUAUAUGAUGUUUGGUGUUUCCUUUCAUAUAUCCCAUCAUUGACUUUACAUCAAAGAAGAAAUCGACGGAGGAAAGACAAUCAAACGUCAAUGAGGAAGCUUUGGCCGAGAAGAAGCCCAUGACCAGUUUGAACCUUCAUAUUUAAUUGGUGUUUAAUUUCAUUUAUCUCUAUUUAGGCUCUUUAUUUUUUCCUUUUUAUGUCCCAAUUCUUGAAUUUUUUUUCUCGACUUUGUGUCACUGUCAUCCGAGGUAAUUCAAUGGACCAAGGAACUAGAGAAUUUGGUCCUACAACAACAAAUAGAGAUGCAACUCAAUCCUUGAGGCGAUGAUAGGAAACAGUUGGAAAGGGACAAUGACUAACUGUUGAGCCAAAUGUUUAGCAGAAGUCAUCAAGCUGUAUUCACAAUGAGUCAAUAUAGUACAAAUGCUCGGAUAAAUUUUACAAGAAGAUACCAAAUUAUAGUGAAGAAAACGGAGGGCACAGUGACGGCGCAAAUUGACUACUCUAUCUUGAUAGCUUGUUAGUGGAAUUGUGGUGGAAGAAAAGGCUAUAUAAUCAGAUUGAGGCCAUUGGAGGCCGUUUGGUUGGUGUUCUAGACGUUGCAAGAUUGUAGAGUUUCCCGUUAGCGAGAUACUAUUGGUGAAAACGAAGCUAGUAGCUGACGAGUUCGCUAGAGUUGAUUCAGUUGUUGAGGUGAGCCGUCGCAUUGUUCGUAGAGGCUGUCAAAAGAGUCUUUAUUAUUCAUUCAUAUGAUGUCUAUUGUAAUUCUCUUAGAUGCUCCAUGGUCUAGUGUGGAAUUUGGGCUAGAAUUUCAGUAUAAUAUUUCGAGAUAUUAAUUGUUUGUAAUGUAUUUGUCAGAUUAUUUAGACACUCUUGUGAUUAAUCAAAUACUGUAAAUU